RNAcentral lists this long non-coding RNA (352 nucleotides) under Trifolium pratense (red clover). RNAcentral describes it as "long non-coding RNA (TPRA_LNC006193)". The record is from RNAcentral. Lineage: Eukaryota; Viridiplantae; Streptophyta; Magnoliopsida; Fabales; Fabaceae.
CAAAAUGGAAAAGUUCAUAGCAAUGUUUAGCUUUAUUUGAACUAAGAGAGAAUUUUGAUUUUCUGUGUUUUGCAUAAUGGCAAAUAUCACAUACAGCAUGAUCAUCAACAUUAACAAAAGGAAACUGUUUAUGCAUUUCUAUCAAUCUACUGUUGGACAAAUGUCCCAAUCUAAAAUGCCAUAAGGCUUCUUUAGGGAUAACAUGAGAAGUAGUGAGUUGAGAAGAGGCAAUGGUUGUGGACUUAGGCUGAACAUGGUCUUGAUUAAAGUAAUACAAUCCUCCAUUGAGCUUAGCCAAACCAGUCAUCUUUAAGUUCUUCUUUUCCUGUAUCAAACAUUCAUCAUUAUCAAA